Molecule: microRNA precursor, 143 nt
Filed under: Pelobates cultripes (western spadefoot toad)
Lineage: Eukaryota; Metazoa; Chordata; Amphibia; Anura; Pelobatidae
Source: RNAcentral
AAAAAAAAUUACCGGCACUCUAGGAGUUUCCAAUCUUAGAUAUUCUUUUAUUCCAAAAACAACGUUGUUUUGACUUUGUUGUUGACGUUGUUUUUGGAAUAAAAGAAUAUCUAAGAUUUGAAACUCCUAGAGUGCCAGUAAUU